Molecule: non-coding RNA, 71 nt
Organism: Podarcis lilfordi (Lilford's wall lizard)
Lineage: Eukaryota; Metazoa; Chordata; Lepidosauria; Squamata; Lacertidae
Source: the annotation of a GenBank genome assembly
GGGCCAUAGCUCAGUGGUACAGCACAUGCCUUGCAAACAGAAGGUUCCAGGUUCAAUCCCUGGCAUCUUCA